RNAcentral lists this ribosomal RNA (676 nucleotides) under uncultured bacterium. RNAcentral's name for it is "bacterial SSU rRNA". It matches the Rfam family "Bacterial small subunit ribosomal RNA", at positions 874 to 1515 of the family's 1533-position model. The record is from RNAcentral.
UCGGUCACGGAGGGCCAUUCGUCGUAAAUAUUGGCGGCACCCCCGUCGGUAUACAAAUUGCCCUGAAUCGUCAAGUAACCAAGGAUGCGGGGCCCGCCCAGCGUGGAUUAUUGUUUAUUCGAACCACGGGAAGACCUUACCCAGGCUUGACAUGAGAGGACCGGCUUAGAGAUAGGCUUUCCUUCGGGACUCUCACACAGGUGUGCAUGGUGUCGUCAGCUCGUGUCGUGAGAUGUUGGGUUAAGUCCCGCAACGAGCGCAACCCCUGUUUCUAGUGCCAGCAUGUAAAGAUGGGAACUCUAGAGAGACUGCCGUUGAUAAAACGGAGGAAGGUGGGGACGACGUCAAAUCAUCAUGCCCUUUAUGUCCUGGGCUACACACGUACUACAAUGGCUAUAACAAAGGGAAGCGAAGCAGCGAUGUGAAGCGAAACUCAAAAAAGUAGUCUCAGAUCGGAUUGUAGGCUGAAAUUCGCCUAUAUGAAGCCGGAAUUGCUAGUAAUGGCAGGUCAGCAUACUGCCGUGAAUACGUUCCCGGGCCUUGUACACACCGCCCGUCACACCAUGAGAGUUGGGAAUACCCGAAGCCUGUGAGCUAACAUUUAAUGAGGCAGCAGUCGAAGGUAGAAUCAAUGAUUGGGGUGAAGUCGUAACAAGGUAGCCGUAUCGGAAGGUGC